GUGAAUCAUCGAAUCUUUGAACGCAAAUUGCACUUUCUGGUAUUCCGGAAAGUAUGCCUGUUUGAGGGUCAGUUAAAUAAAAAACGGUGUUGUUGCUGUCUUUUGUGGUGACGCGUUGGAAUUGGGUUGUCUUACUUUCGGUUAUGUGCGUUCUGAUUUUUGUAUGAUUUUUGCACGUAUCUAAAUUGAUUAUUUAUGUUGGGGAUUUC
This 209-nucleotide unclassified non-coding RNA is filed under the name Glomus sp. Its description in RNAcentral is "partial contains 5.8S ribosomal RNA and internal transcribed spacer 2". The stretch from base 1 to 71 matches the Rfam family "5.8S ribosomal RNA", at positions 84 to 154 of the family's 154-position model. Lineage: Eukaryota; Fungi; Glomeromycota; Glomeromycetes; Glomerales; Glomeraceae. The record is from RNAcentral.